GGUGAUGGAUAAGCACAUGACAUGAGUAUAUUGGCGAAGCAGCACAUUGAGACGCGUUUUGUGAAGAUCCAAGCUGAGAAAAGUCCGUUCUUGGCUGAGAGGCUCACGAUUGUGGUUCUUCCCACUCUUUGCCCUCAUUAAGAACACGAAAGUGGAUGAUUAUGUGGCUGGGUUUAAUGAGCUGGGAGGGAAAGACGAUUUCAGCACAGAUGAUCUGGAAGACAGGUUAGCUAGAGCUCAAGUUAUUCAUUACGAGGGUGAAUCAUCAUCUCAUAAGGUAAAGUCUAUGACACAAGCCAGGAGGAGUGUAAGGCAGAGUGCUAAUUCAGAUUCUGACUCUGAAUGAAUCCCAAGUCUUAAUAAUAUAAAGGAGGAAACAUGAAAUGUAAGUGAGCUUGUUGUUGAGUUUUAUUUGAACUAAUUAAGUUAGUCAUAUGUAAUAUUCAAAGCUAUUCAUUAGUCUUUUUGAUGAUCUAAUAUGGAUUUUUUAACCUUUUAACAUUAUUUAUUAUUUUAUCAAAAAUUAUGAAAAUUUUCAAGUA
This is a long non-coding RNA of Brassica napus (rape), 542 nucleotides long. RefSeq lists it as uncharacterized. The record is from RefSeq and is a predicted model, not a curated record. The transcript is spliced from 2 exons. NCBI's taxonomy places the organism in Eukaryota, Viridiplantae, Streptophyta, Magnoliopsida, Brassicales, Brassicaceae.